Molecule: ribosomal RNA, 253 nt
Filed under: uncultured bacterium
Lineage: Bacteria
Description: partial 16S ribosomal RNA
Rfam family: Bacterial small subunit ribosomal RNA
Source: RNAcentral
UACGUAGGGGGCAAGCGUUGUCCGGAAUCAUUGGGCGUAAAGAGCGUGUAGGCGGCCCGGUAAGUCCGCCGUGAAAGUCCAGGGCUCAACCCUGGAACGCCGGUGGAAACUGCCGGGCUGGAGUCCGGAAGAGGCGAGUGGAAUUCCUGGUGUAGCGGUGAAAUGCGCAGAUAUCAGGAGGAACACCAAUGGCGAAGGCAGCUCGCUGGGACGGUACUGACGCUGAGACGCGAAAGCGUGGGGAGCAAACAGG